Molecule: ribosomal RNA, 504 nt
Filed under: uncultured bacterium
Lineage: Bacteria
Description: partial 16S ribosomal RNA
Rfam family: Bacterial small subunit ribosomal RNA
Source: RNAcentral
UGGGGAAUAUUGGACAAUGGGCGCAAGCCUGAUCCAGCAAUGCCGCGUGUGUGAAGAAGGCCUUCGGGUUGUAAAGCACUUUUAUCAGGAGCGAAACGCUGUCGGCUAAUACCCGGCGGAACUGACGGUACCUGAGGAAUAAGCACCGGCUAACUUCGUGCCAGCAGCCGCGGUAAUACGAAGGGUGCAAGCGUUAAUCGGAAUUACUGGGCGUAAAGCGUGCGUAGGCGGUUUCUUAAGUCUGCUGUGAAAUCCCGGGCUCACUGGANGGCAGUGGAUACUGGGAGGCUAGAGUGUGUCAGAGGGCUGGUGGAAUUCCCGGUGUAGCGGUGAAAUGCGUAGAGAUCGGGGAGGAACAUCAGUGGCGAAGGCGCCACUGGGACACACUGACGCUGAGGCACGAAAGCGUGGGGAGCAAACAGGAUUAGAUACCCUGGGUAGUCCACGCCCUAAACGAUGCGAACUGGAGUGUUGGCUCUCAACUCGGAGAUCAGUGUCGAAGCU